Molecule: ribosomal RNA, 494 nt
Filed under: uncultured bacterium
Lineage: Bacteria
Description: partial 16S ribosomal RNA
Rfam family: Bacterial small subunit ribosomal RNA
Source: RNAcentral
GACGAACGCUGGCGGCGUGCUUAACACAUGCAAGUCGAACGGUGAAGCGCCUUCCUUUUUGGUGGGUGUGGAUGAGUGGCGAACGGGUGAGUAACACGUGAGUAACCUGCCCCCUUCUUCUGGAUAACCGCAUGAAAGUGUGGCUAAUACGGGAUAUUCUGGGUCUGUCGCAUGAUGGGUCUGGGAAAGAUAUUGUUUCGGUGGGGGAUGGGCUCGCGGCCUAUCAGCUUGUUGGUGGGGUGAUGGCCCACCAAGGCGGUGACGGGUAGCCGGCCUGAGAGGGUGGACGGUCACACUGGGACUGAGACACGGCCCAGACUCGUACGGGAGGCAGCAGUGGGGAAUAUUGCACAAUGGGCGCAAGCCUGAUGCAGCGACGCCGCGUGAGGGAUGGAGGCCUUCGGGUUGUGAACCUCUUUCGCCAGUGAAGCAGGCCUGCCUCGUUUGUGGGUGGGUUGACGGUAGCUGGAUAAGAAGCGCCGGCUAACUACGUG